GACGAACGCUGGCGGCGUGCUUAACACAUGCAAGUCGAACGGAAAGGCCCUGCUUUUGUGGGGUGCUCGAGUGGCGAACGGGUGAGUAACACGUGAGUAACCUGCCCUUGACUCUGGGAUAACUUCAGGAAACUGGGGCUAAUACCGGAUAGGAGCUCCUGCUGCAUGGUGGGGGUUGGAAAGUUUCGGCGGUUGGGGAUGGACUCGCGGCUUAUCAGCUUGUUGGUGGGGUAGUGGCUUACCAGGGCUUUGACGGGUAGCCGGCCUGAGAGGGUGACCGGCCACAUUGGGACUGAGAUACGGCCCAGACUCCUACGGGAGGCAGCAGUGGGGAAUAUUGCACAAUGGGCGGAAGCCUGAUGCAGCAACGCCGCGUGCGGGAUGACGGCCUUCGGGUUGUAAACCGCUUUCGCCUGUGACGAAGCGUGAGUGACGGUAAUGGGUAAAGAAGCACCGGCUAACUACGUG
RNAcentral lists this ribosomal RNA (468 nucleotides) under uncultured bacterium. Its description in RNAcentral is "partial 16S ribosomal RNA". It matches the Rfam family "Bacterial small subunit ribosomal RNA", at positions 28 to 507 of the family's 1533-position model. The record is from RNAcentral.